GACGAACGCUGGCGGCGUGCCUAAUACAUGCAAGUAGAACGCUGAAGCGAGGAGCUUGCUCUUCUUGGAUGAGUUGCGAACGGGUGAGUAACGCGUAGGUAACCUGCCUGGUAGCGGGGGAUAACUAUUGGAAACGAUAGCUAAUACCGCAUAAAAUGGAUUAUCGCAUGAUAAUCCAUUGAAAGGUGCAAAUGCAUCACUACCAGAUGGACCUGCGUUGUAUUAGCUAGUUGGUGGGGUAACGGCUCACCAAGGCGACGAUACAUAGCCGACCUGAGAGGGUGAUCGGCCACACUGGGACUGAGACACGGCCCAGACUCCUACGGGAGGCAGCAGUAGGGAAUCUUCGGCAAUGGACGGAAGUCUGACCGAGCAACGCCGCGUGAGUGAAGAAGGUUUUCGGAUCGUAAAGCUCUGUUGUAAGAGAAGAACGAGAGUGAGAGUGGAAAGUUCACACUGUGACGGUAUCUUACCAGAAAGGGACGGCUAACUACGUG
This 497-nucleotide ribosomal RNA is filed under the name uncultured bacterium. RNAcentral's name for it is "partial 16S ribosomal RNA". It matches the Rfam family "Bacterial small subunit ribosomal RNA", at positions 28 to 507 of the family's 1533-position model. The record is from RNAcentral.